GACAGAGGGUGCAAACGUUGUUCGGAAUUACUGGGCGUAAAGCGCGUGUAGGCGGCUUGGCAAGUCGGGUGUGAAAGCCCUGGGCUCAACCUAGGAAGUGCAUUCGAAACUGCUUAGCUGGAGUGCCGGAGAGGAAAGCGGAAUUCUCGGUGUAGAGGUGAAAUUCGUAGAUAUCGAGAGGAACACCGGUGGCGAAGGCGGCUUUCUGGACGGUUACUGACGCUGAGACGCGAAAGCGUGGGGAGCAAACAGGAUUAGAUACCCGCGUAGUCC
RNAcentral lists this ribosomal RNA (273 nucleotides) under uncultured bacterium. Its description in RNAcentral is "partial 16S ribosomal RNA". It matches the Rfam family "Bacterial small subunit ribosomal RNA", at positions 524 to 796 of the family's 1533-position model. The record is from RNAcentral.